AUGCAAUACUGGUCGCUCGAAGGAAUCGAGGAGAUCCUUGGGAAGAAGGUGCGGGUUGAUCGCCUCGACAGCAGGACGCAGGAGCGCGAGCACACGAAGACAUUCGCCUGCUGGGUCUGGACCAGCGACGUCGCCCACAUCCCCACCAAGCACACGCUCGGCGUCCUGCCGCGCGGCGCGGGGCGCGUCGAGGAGAUGCAGGGCUACUCAUCGCCGGACCGGCGUGUCGCCCCUCCGCCCACCGCUGCAGACUACACCAUGCUCAUCCACGUCGACCGGGUGGAAGAUUGGUCGGCCCCUUCGCCGCGCUCGUCCCACUCUGCCUAG
This 327-nucleotide ribosomal RNA is filed under the name Triticum aestivum (bread wheat). RNAcentral describes it as "partial small subunit ribosomal RNA". The record is from RNAcentral. Lineage: Eukaryota; Viridiplantae; Streptophyta; Magnoliopsida; Poales; Poaceae.